RNAcentral lists this ribosomal RNA (402 nucleotides) under uncultured bacterium. RNAcentral's name for it is "bacterial SSU rRNA". It matches the Rfam family "Bacterial small subunit ribosomal RNA", at positions 355 to 774 of the family's 1533-position model. The record is from RNAcentral.
UCGGGAAUAUUGCGCAAUGGAGGAAACUCUGACGCAGUGACGCCGCGUGCAGGAAGAAGGUUUUCGGAUUGUAAACUGCUUUAGACAGGGAAGAUAAUGACAGUACCUGUAGAAUAAGCUCCGGCUAACUACGUGCCAGCAGCCGCGGUAAUACGUAGGGAGCAAGCGUUAUCCGGAUUUAUUGGGUGUAAAGGGUGCGUAGACGGGAAAUUAAGUUAGUUGUGAAAUCCCUCGGCUUAACUGAGGAACUGCAACUAAAACUGGUUUUCUUGAGUGCUGGAGAGGAAAGUGGAAUUCCUAGUGUAGCGGUGAAAUGCGUAGAUAUUAGGAGGAACACCAGUGGCGAAGGCGACUUUCUGGACAGUAACUGACGUUGAGGCACGAAAGUGUGGGGAGCAAACA